Molecule: long non-coding RNA, 1627 nt
Organism: Cyprinus carpio (common carp)
Lineage: Eukaryota; Metazoa; Chordata; Actinopteri; Cypriniformes; Cyprinidae
Source: Ensembl
UUUCUAACUGGAAUCCGUAUGUAUCUCCACUGUAGACAACAGGCUGUGUCUUCAAGUUUGUCUUUUCCUUUGCCCGGAUAUAACUAUGCUGUUGGCUUCAAUCAUAUGGUUUGUUAUUGAAGGUUCUCUGUAUGAGACCGUCUCUUGCUGUAUGCUCUAUGUUCUGGGGCCUCUGAGGUUGUUUUGGGUGAAACCAUUAGCCACAGAUUUGCCAGAUAAAAUCUUGAAGUAUAUCAUGAUUUCACAUACUGAUCAUGCAGCAUUCAUGGCAGUGAUGUAUUCAGUACUUUUAGCUGAACAUUUUCCAAAUAUCAGCACAGUCUUCAGCUCAUCCAGCUUUGGUUUGCUUGUCCUGAUGUGUCUCCUCUUCAUUAUACAAUUGGCUAAAGAGAAGAAGAUGCUGUCAUACUCUGGAGAGUCGAGCAGAAAGAUGUACAGUAGAGUUCCAGAGUUUGUGGCUACUUGUGGCCUUUCAGGGCUGCCUUCAUUACAGCUCGCCCUCCUGCUCUACACUCAUUUUGCCUCCAGUGCAGUGUUCUUCAUUAUGACUCUUCCAGUACUUCAUUUGAUGUCUUAUAGAUUUUGUAAUGGAACAAAAAGUGCAGAUCAACAAUGUCAACGUUUUCUAUGUAAAUUAAUAUGGUUGGUGAUGAUUGUGAUGACUGGAGUAAUGGUGUAUUUUUAUACUAUGCUCUUGAGAAAUAAAGACGCUGAUGCAGGACCUGUCUGUGUGGCAGGAUUUGUUCAAGCCUUGUGGGUGCUUGCAUUUUCUAAAGUCCCAGUCUAUUAUCAGAAGCUUCACAUGAGGAAAAUAUUGUUCCUGUAUGGAUCAGCUGGUCUUGUUUUAGUGAACUCUGCUGCACUGAUGACAGAACUGAUAAUGAAAGCAGUUCAUGGUGUGCGUCUGGUGGGAGAUUUGCGAAUCGUUGUCUUUCCAUCUGAGUGGCUCUUUACUGUAGCACUGCUGGUCUUAUCCGUUGUUGCAUCCUGUGAGUAUGACCAGAAGUGGAUCACUAUGUAUGAAUCAUCCAUCAUGCUGUCUUUUAUAUUUGCUGUAUCAAUGCAUUAACUUAGGGUGAUCAGUUGAGACUAAUCCUCAAAUCCUUUUCUCUCACACAUCUCCGGGAAAGCUGCCUGCACAGAGUCUCAGAAGGCUUCUCAUGUGAGUUUGUUUGAUUACAUAUGAAUUUGGUUUAUUAAUACAAUAAUUUUGAAUACAUUGACAUUUAAUGUGGACAAAGUAAAACUAUAAAAAGAAGUCAUGUGUAUACUGUUUGAAAUAUGCGCUUUCUUCUAGUUGCAGAUGCCGUCAGAUUAUAAUGGGACUCCUGGUACAAAUCAUACAAGUAUAGAUAUGACACAGAGGACAGAAGAAUCCCAUGAAAUGGAAACUCUGAGAAAUGCUGGGAACAGUGAGGAGCAUCAAGAAGAGGAGAUCAACUAACAGUGAACUGUACUGUUUAAAAGAUCUGACUGAACUUUUCUCACUGGGCAGAGGUUUUCAUGGUAUGAAACAUUUCAGAUGGUAAGACUGGCAAACAUGCCAUUUCUUUGUCUGUGUAACUAUUAGCAGCAGAGACUCUGGAUGUAUUUUUAUAUCUGUGAUGCUGUGCCAUUGAUAUUGUGG